UUGCUUCUCUUGAGAGCGGCGGACGGGUGAGUAAUGCCUAGGAAUCUGCCUGGUAGUGGGGGAUAACGUUCGGAAACGGACGCUAAUACCGCAUACGUCCUACGGGAGAAAGCAGGGGACCUUCGGGCCUUGCGCUAUCAGAUGAGCCUAGGUCGGAUUAGCUAGUUGGUGGGGUAAUGGCUCACCAAGGCGACGAUCCGUAACUGGUCUGAGAGGAUGAUCAGUCACACUGGAACUGAGACACGGUCCAGACUCCUACGGGAGGCAGCAGUGGGGAAUAUUGGACAAUGGGCGAAAGCCUGAUCCAGCCAUGCCGCGUGUGUGAAGAAGGUCUUCGGAUUGUAAAGCACUUUAAGUUGGGAGGAAGGGUUGUAGAUUAAUACUCUGCAAUUUUGACGUUACCGACAGAAUAAGCACCGGCUAACUCUGUGCCAGCAGCCGCGGUAAUACAGAGGGUGCAAGCGUUAAUCGGAAUUACUGGGCGUAAAGCGCGCGUAGGUGGUUUGUUAAGUUGGAUGUGAAAUCCCCGGGCUCAACCUGGGAACUGCAUUCAAAACUGACUGACUAGAGUAUGGUAGAGGGUGGUGGAAUUUCCUGUGUAGCGGUGAAAUGCGUAGAUAUAGGAAGGAACACCAGUGGCGAAAGCGACCACCUGGACUAAUACUGACACUGA
RNAcentral lists this ribosomal RNA (673 nucleotides) under uncultured bacterium. Its description in RNAcentral is "bacterial SSU rRNA". It matches the Rfam family "Bacterial small subunit ribosomal RNA", at positions 80 to 749 of the family's 1533-position model. The record is from RNAcentral.